UCCCAGGUAGCUCAGUGGUAAAGAAUCUGACUGCCAAGCAGGAGACAUGGGUUCAAUCCCUGGGUUGGGAA
RNAcentral lists this transfer RNA (71 nucleotides) under Bos taurus (domestic cattle). It matches the Rfam family "tRNA". From Rfam's summary of the family: Transfer RNA (tRNA) molecules are approximately 80 nucleotides in length. Their secondary structure includes four short double-helical elements and three loops (D, anti-codon, and T loops). The record is from Rfam by way of RNAcentral. RNAcentral also lists the same sequence under 5 other names. Lineage: Eukaryota; Metazoa; Chordata; Mammalia; Artiodactyla; Bovidae.